Molecule: ribosomal RNA, 356 nt
Filed under: uncultured marine eukaryote
Lineage: Eukaryota
Description: bacterial SSU rRNA
Rfam family: Eukaryotic small subunit ribosomal RNA
Source: RNAcentral
UUGUUGCAGUUAAAAAGCUCGUAGUUGGAUUUCUGUAUUGGUUAGCCGGCCGGCGCAUUCGCGUUGCAGCUUGGUUUAAUCGAUGUAUCUUGUCACAAUAGACACUGGCAUUCAUUUGUUGGUGUUCUGACUGACUCGUUUACUUUGAGAAGAUUAGAGUGUUCAAAGCAGGCUAUCGCCUUGAAUAUGUUAGCAUGGAAUAAUGAUAUAGGACUUUGGUUCUAUUUUAUUGGUCGUUCGAGGACCGAAGUAAUGAUUGAUAGGGACAGUUGGGGGCAUCAGUAUUCUGAAGCGAGAGGUGAAAUUCUUGGACCUUUCGGAAGACUAACAACUGCGAAAGCAUUUGCCUAGGAUGU